UUGUGAUGUAAAAAAUCGUAACAAGGUUUCCGUAGGUGAACCUGCGGAAGGAUCAUUACACAUUCGGGGCGCUUCGGCGCUCCUUAUACACCCACCCUCUGCCUACGUGUACCUCUAUAGCUUCCUCGGCGGGCUCGCCCGCCGCCAGGAACCCACGAAACCCCUUGCAUUAUACGCGAAAACUUCUGAUAACAAACCUAAAUUAUCACAACUUUCAACAAUGGAUCUCUUGGUUCUGGCAUCGAUGAAGAACGCAGCGAAAUGCGAUAAGUAGUGUGAAUUGCAGAAUUCAGUGAAUCAUCGAAUCUUUGAACGCACAUUGCGGCCAUAGGUAUUCCUUUGGCCAUGCCUGUUCGAGCGUCAUUUACACCCUCAAGCCUAGCUUGGUGUUGGGCGUCUGUCCCGCCGUUUUCGCGCGCGGACUCGCCUCAAAGUCAUUGGCGGCGGUCGUGCCGGCCCCUCGCGCAGCACAUUUGCGCUUCUCGGAGGCCCGGCGGAUCCGCGCUCCAGCAAGACCUUUCAUGACUGACCUCGGAUCAGGUGGGAUCCCG
RNAcentral lists this ribosomal RNA (551 nucleotides) under Periconia macrospinosa. RNAcentral describes it as "partial 18S ribosomal RNA". The stretch from base 210 to 363 matches the Rfam family "5.8S ribosomal RNA". Lineage: Eukaryota; Fungi; Ascomycota; Dothideomycetes; Pleosporales; Periconiaceae. The record is from RNAcentral.